Molecule: ribosomal RNA, 439 nt
Filed under: uncultured bacterium
Lineage: Bacteria
Description: partial 16S ribosomal RNA
Rfam family: Bacterial small subunit ribosomal RNA
Source: RNAcentral
CUACGGGUGGCUCCAGUAGGGAAUAUUGCACAAUGGGGGGAACCCUGAUGCAGCAACGCCGCGUGGAGGAUGACGCAUUUCGGUGUGUAAACUCCUUUUAUAUGUCAAGAAAAUGACGGUAGCAUAUGAAUAAGCACCGGCUAACUCCGUGCCAGCAGCCGCGGUAAUACGGAGGGUGCAAGCGUUACUCGGAAUCACUGGGCGUAAAGGACGCGUAGGCGGGUUGGAAAGUCAGGUGUGAAAUCCUACAGCUUAACUGUAGAACUGCACUUGAAACUUCUAAUCUAGAGUAUGAGAGGGGGAGAUGGAAUUAGUGGUGUAGGGGUAAAAUCCGUAGAUAUCACUAGGAAUACCUAAAGCGAAGGCGAUCUCCUGGAACAUUACUGACGCUAAGGCGUGAAAGCGUGGGGAGCAAACAGGAUUAGAUACCCGCGUAGUC